RNAcentral lists this ribosomal RNA (406 nucleotides) under uncultured bacterium. Its description in RNAcentral is "partial 16S ribosomal RNA". It matches the Rfam family "Bacterial small subunit ribosomal RNA", at positions 30 to 526 of the family's 1533-position model. The record is from RNAcentral.
AUUGAACGCUGGCGGCAGGCCUAACACAUGCAAGUCGAACGAGUGGCGGACGGGUGAGUAAUGUCUGGGAAACUGCCCGAUGGAGGGGGAUAACUACUGGAAACGGUAGCUAAUACCGCAUACCAUCUGAUGUGCCCCUAUGGGAUUAGCUUGUAGGUGAGGUAACGGCUCACCUAGGCGACGCGCCCUAGCUGGUCUGCAAGGAGGACCAGCCAAACUGGAACUGAGCACCGGUCCAGACUCCUACGGGAGGCAGCAGUGGGGAAUAUUGCACAAUGGGCGCAAGCCGUAUGCAGCCAUGCCGCGGGUAUGAAGAAGGCCUUCGGGUUGUAAAGUACUUUCAGCGUGGAGGCGUUACCCGCAGAAGAAGCACCGGCUAACUCCGUGCCAGCAGCCGCGGUAAUAC